ACAAUUUCAUGAUGAUUUCAUAGUUCAACAGAAUUUGCUUUGAUGACAUACUUGCAUAUGUCUUUCGCUCCUAGCUGAAUCUA
This 83-nucleotide small nucleolar RNA is filed under the name Trichomalopsis sarcophagae. RNAcentral's name for it is "Small nucleolar RNA snR60/Z15/Z230/Z193/J17". It matches the Rfam family "Small nucleolar RNA snR60/Z15/Z230/Z193/J17". From Rfam's summary of the family: The members of this family belong to the C/D class of snoRNAs which contain the C (UGAUGA) and D (CUGA) box motifs. Most of the members of the box C/D family function in directing site-specific 2'-O-methylation of substrate RNAs. The family includes the yeast snoRNA snR60 (also known as Z15) and the corresponding human guide snoRNA U80 (SNORD80). Lineage: Eukaryota; Metazoa; Arthropoda; Insecta; Hymenoptera; Pteromalidae. The record is from Rfam by way of RNAcentral.